This 498-nucleotide ribosomal RNA is filed under the name uncultured bacterium. RNAcentral describes it as "partial 16S ribosomal RNA". It matches the Rfam family "Bacterial small subunit ribosomal RNA", at positions 28 to 523 of the family's 1533-position model. The record is from RNAcentral.
GAUGAACGCUGGCGGCGUGCCUAAUACAUGCAAGUCGAACGCUUCACUUCGGUGAAGAGUGGCGAACGGGUGAGUAAUACAUAAGUAACCUGGCAUCUACAGGGGGAUAACUGAUGGAAACGUCAGCUAAGCCCGCAUAGGUGUAGAGAUCGCAUGAACUCUAUAUGAAAAGUGCUACGGGACUGGUAGAUGAUGGACUUAUGGCGCAUUAGUUGGUUGGUAGGGUAACGGCCGACCAAGGCGACGAUGCGUAGCCGACCUGAGAGGGUGACCGGCCACACUGGGACUGAGACACGGCCCAGACUCCUACGGGAGGCAGCAGUAGGGAAUUUUCGGCAAUGGGGGAAACCCUGACCGAGCAACGCCGCGUGAAGGAAGAAGUAAUUCGUUAUGUAAACUUCUGUCAUAGAGGAAGAACGGCGGAUAUAGGGAAUGAUAUCCAAGUGACGGUACUCUAUAAGAAAGCCACGGCUAACUACGUGCCAGCCGCCGCGGUAA